ACAUGCCUACAACAUAUUAUUAAUGUGUCAUAUCCCAUUAGAACUCCGCAAUUAAGCACGCUUAGGAUAGAGUAGUACUGGGAUGGAUGACCACCCGGGAAGUCUUAGUGUUUUACAUGCC
Non-coding RNA from Picea glauca (white spruce), 121 nucleotides. Lineage: Eukaryota; Viridiplantae; Streptophyta; Pinopsida; Pinales; Pinaceae. The record is from Rfam.